GUCAUUGUUCCUUGUCUCCAUUGUUCACGUAUGUGAAAACAACUGUAAGCUCUUCUCGUAGAAGGGGUGAAACAUGCCCGGAGGCAAUCGCCUUUCCUCAAGUGCAGCGACUUCCAACUUGACAGCACAUUCACCAUAGACACGGAAGUUUGUGAUUUCAGAUUAGCCCUCCUGUACCAUUGCCCGGAUUCUGUUUAUGACCUCCUGCCUGCCCUGACAUAGAGUCCUGCAAAGCCCUUCUGUACUUCUGCCUGUAUAUUUUGGAACAACUGUGUAUGACCACUGCCUGCCCUCGGACCUAAUCCUCAUUUACUUGUCCUUGUUGGCGCUAAAUAAACACUACA
Esox lucius (northern pike) is the source of this 344-nucleotide long non-coding RNA. RefSeq lists it as uncharacterized. The transcript is spliced from 3 exons. NCBI's taxonomy places the organism in Eukaryota, Metazoa, Chordata, Actinopteri, Esociformes, Esocidae. The record is from RefSeq and is a predicted model, not a curated record.